AAGAUAAGAUUUAUAUUACAAUAAUUUUUGCUAUUUAUGUGGUUAACAUAACAACACAGUGAGGUUAACAACAACAACACAGGUCUAUCUUGAUGUGACUAUCUUAUUCAAUGUUUCUGGUUUUGAGGAAAGCAUUUUCCCAUCAUUUCAAACGUCUACCUUGUAUGAUGUGACUACCUUCUUAUUCAAUAUUUCUGGUUUCGAGAAAAGCAUUUGCCCGUCAUAUCAAACGGGGUGAAAUUUCCAUUGCUGAAACAAGUGCCAACUCAGCGGUUCCACACCUUCAGCAGAGGGGAUGAUAAAGAUGCGCACUUUCGAUCAUGUUACUGAGGACAGUGGAUAAAAUUGAUAUGGUGUUUUGUUACCAUGCUAUGGAGGGUAAUGGUGGAUGAGUGAGGGAUGACACUAACAGGACAAUAAGAAUCGCGUUCGAGAGAACUGAAAUGCAUUCUAAGCUAGUAUUUCAUCUUAGCCAAGUAUUCAAGUUUAUGAAACUACUGUCUGUAAGACAGGCAUUACGAUGUAAGGAAAUACAGUUGUAGCAAAUAAUAUUAUAUCUUUGAUAAAUAAAAUUAAUUUGAAUUUAUUCGAA
Nilaparvata lugens (brown planthopper) is the source of this 592-nucleotide long non-coding RNA. RefSeq lists it as uncharacterized. The record is from RefSeq and is a predicted model, not a curated record. Lineage: Eukaryota; Metazoa; Arthropoda; Insecta; Hemiptera; Delphacidae. The transcript has 5 exons.